UAGUCCACACCGUAAACUAUGUUCACUCGAUGUUGGCUAAAUAUUGUCAGUGUCCAAGCGAAAGCGUUAAGUGAACCACCUGGGGAGUACGCCGGCAACGGUGAAACUCAAAGGAAUUGACGGGGGCCCGCACAAGCGGUGGAGCAUGUGGUUUAAUUCGAUGCAACGCGAAGAACCUUACCAGAGCUUGACAUGUCGCAAAUUUUUUACGAAAGUUUAAAGUGCCUUAGGGAAUGCGAAUACAGGUGGUGCAUGGCUGUCGUCAGCUCGUGUCGUGAGAUGUUGGGUUAAGUCCCGCAACGAGCGCAACCCUUGUCUUUAGUUGCCAUCAUUUAGUUGGGCACUCUAGAGAAACUGCCGGUGACAAACCGGAGGAAGGUAAGGAUGACGUCAAGUCAGCAUGCCCCUUACGCUCUGGGCUACACACGUGCUACAAUGGUCGUGACAAAGAGUUGCUAGUCUGCGAAGGCAAGCCAAUCUCAAAAAGCAUGUCCCAGUUCGGAUUGG
This 507-nucleotide ribosomal RNA is filed under the name uncultured bacterium. RNAcentral describes it as "bacterial SSU rRNA". It matches the Rfam family "Bacterial small subunit ribosomal RNA", at positions 791 to 1301 of the family's 1533-position model. The record is from RNAcentral.